This 253-nucleotide ribosomal RNA is filed under the name uncultured bacterium. Its description in RNAcentral is "partial 16S ribosomal RNA". It matches the Rfam family "Bacterial small subunit ribosomal RNA", at positions 524 to 776 of the family's 1533-position model. The record is from RNAcentral.
UACGUAGGGUGCAAGCGUUAAUCGGAAUUCCUGGGCGUAAAGCGUGCGCAGGCGGUUAUGCAAGACAGAUGUGAAAUCCCCGGGCUCAACCUGGGAACUGCAUUUGUGACUGCAUGGCUAGAGUACGGUAGAGGGGGAUGGAAUUCCGCGUGUAGCAGUGAAAUGCGUAGAUAUGCGGAGGAACACCGAUGGCGAAGGCAAUCCCCUGGACCUGUACUGACGCUCAUGCACGAAAGCGUGGGGAGCAAACAGG